ACUCAAAGGAAUUGACGGGGAGCCGCACAAGCAGUGGAGCAUGUGGUUUAAUUCGAUGGUAAGCGAAGAACCUUACCGAGGCUUGACAUCUCGGGAAAGCCCAAGAAAUUGGGCUGUGCCUUCGGGAACCCGAUGACAGGUGUUGCAUGGCCGUCGUCAGCUCGUGCCGUGAGGUGUUCGGUUAAGUCCGGUAACGAGCGCAACCCUUGUGGUUUGUUGUAUUUUUCAAACCAGACUGUCCUGGAAACAGGAAGGAAGGUGGGGAUGACGUCAGGUCAGCAUGGCCCUUAUGCCUCGGGCUACACACGUGCUACAAUGGCCGGUACAACGGGUUGCUAAGUCGUGAGGCGGAGCUAAUCCCAUCAAAACCGGUCUCAGUUCGGAUUGCAGGCUGAAACUCGCCUGCAUGAAGCUGGAAUUGCUAGUAACCGUGGGUCAGCACACCACGGUGAAUACGUUCUCGGCUCUUGCACACACCGCCCGU
This 484-nucleotide ribosomal RNA is filed under the name uncultured bacterium. Its description in RNAcentral is "partial 16S ribosomal RNA". It matches the Rfam family "Bacterial small subunit ribosomal RNA", at positions 899 to 1397 of the family's 1533-position model. The record is from RNAcentral.